Molecule: ribosomal RNA, 758 nt
Filed under: endophytic bacterium
Lineage: Bacteria
Description: bacterial SSU rRNA
Rfam family: Bacterial small subunit ribosomal RNA
Source: RNAcentral
GCUGGGUGGAUUACUGGCGAACGGGUGAGUAACACGUGAGUAACCUGCCCCUGACUCUGGGAUAAGCGUUGGAAACGACGUCUAAUACUGGAUAUGAUCACUGGCCGCAUGGUCUGGUGGUGGAAAGAUUUUUUGGUUGGGGAUGGACUCGCGGUCUAUCAGCUUGUUGGUGAGGUAAUGGGUCACCAAUGCGACGACUUGCAGCCGGCCUGAGAGGGUGACCGGUCUCACUGGGACUGAGACCCGGCCCUAACUCCUACGGGAGGCAGCAGCGGGGAAUAUUGCACAAUGGGCGAAAGCCUGAUGCAGCAACGCCGCGUGAGGGAUGACGGCCUUCGGGUUGUAAACCUCUUUUAGUAGGGAAGAAGCGAAAGUGACGGUACCUGCAGAAAAAGCACCGGCUAACUACGUGCCAGCAGCCGCGGUAAUACCUAGGGUGCAAGCGUUGUCCGGAAUUAUUGGGCGUAAAGAGCUCGUAUGCGGUUUGUCGCGUCUGCUGUGAAAUCCCGAGGCUCAACCUCGGGCUUGCACUGGGUACGGGCAGACUAUAGUGCGGUAGGGGAGAUUGUAAUUCCUGGUGUAGCGGGGGAAUGCUCCAAUAUCAGGAGGAACACCGAUGGCUAAGGCAAAUCUCUGGGCCGUAACUGACCCUGACGAGCGAAAGCAUGGGGAGCGAACAGGAUUAGAUACCCUGGUAGACCAUGUCGAACCUUGGGCGCUACAUGUCCGGACCUUUCCACGUUUCUGUGUCUAACCUA